Molecule: long non-coding RNA, 1524 nt
Organism: Paramormyrops kingsleyae
Lineage: Eukaryota; Metazoa; Chordata; Actinopteri; Osteoglossiformes; Mormyridae
Source: RefSeq, a predicted model, not a curated record
GCAUGUAGUCAGCUGUUUGUUUUCUUUUAAUACUUGAAGUCGGAUGAGAACUUUGGAUGAGGCUUCUCCCUACAUUGAAUCACUGUACUGUUGGUCUGUCUCCUCAACGUCUUCCUGAUACGUCCACCGAAGACCACAAAGUACACAGAUUUGUUGACCAAGUCAUAAGUCACAGAAGUCAUGUCCAAUGCAUUCAAUUCUGAAUUUAUUGCAUGCAGUUUAUUAAUAAAUCUUUGUCUUCCUCGCCUACAUAAUCUUUGUCGGUAUGUCUUAAUGCAGGGAGAACAGAAGAUGUUGACAUGCUGCUGGUAGCCUGAGCUGGUAGCUGUGACAGGAUGAUUAUUCCUGUGUUCUGCAGUCUGGCCGUGCUGCUAAUCUCUUCACGCACUGCUGUGUGCGUGGACCCUCACCACGCAGCAUGCUGAGCUCAUCUCCUAGCAGUAAUUGCAUGUUUUUCUCUCGGUGUAAGCAGCUUGAGAGUGUUACUCCAGGUGCUGGUCUGUCCUUUCAGGAGUAGAGGAAGGCUGGCGUGUGGGCGUGUAGGAGAAGCUCGGGGACCUGGAUCCGUUCAGUAUGCUGGAGCAGUUGCCUGGGUUGCAUGCAGACAAAGGAGGGAACAGUUGUACUGUACCUUAUGAGCUGCUCGAGUGUGGAAUCCUCGCUGACAUGUAUUUAGAUAUGAAGAGCAAACCCAUGAGGGAAACUUCAUGUUCCUGCUCUGAGGGUCCAGCUGGAGGAUGUCUGUAAGAUGAGAGCCUUGUGCUCUGGCCUUAUCGCCAGGCCCUGACAGCCUGUGGCAGGAGAAAAAGCAUUUGGGAUUAGACUUCUAAGGACAACCCUGACUAUUCACACUUGGCAUUAGCAAGACAGCCUUAGUACAAGAAGGAUAUUUUUUAUUCCUUCAAUUUAACUUUAAUUACUCAAAUCUCUGUGAGGGCACAUAAGAAAAGCCCAGGCAUUUGUGUCAAGAAGAUUAGCAGACUGCCCUGCCAAGUCCGUGCAUUGCUGCGUCGUUAGAUAGAAUUCAAAUUCAAAUCCGGCUGAAGACAGUGCAGCUGUCACCCCCUGGCCUGUAAAGCCCCCUUGGAUCAAACAUGAGCUGUCCUCCCUCUGCCUGCAUCUCCCUCACUUGCCUUCCCCCCGAGGUCGCUAAUCCUCUCUCCCCGCUCACUGUGACAGCUAAAAUAAAGCCAUAAAACCUCCAAAAUAAUUACUAAUUAAAAAUACGAAAUGCCUUUUCCCCUCAUAAGGUGUGGGGGGGGGGGGACCUAGGUGUCAGGGGUAUAGCUGUCCCCGCCAAAAAGAGGCCAUAUUUCCUCCAUUGUCCCCAUGUCCCAGCCUGUGCCAGCACCAAACUGAAGGUCGUCCCACUAAUGUUCUGCACUAGCUGGAGGUGUGAAUGAGCAUGAAGGUUCUAACCCAACAGUAUAAUGAGCUUUUUACACUAGACCGUGAAUGCGAGGUUCUACUCCGGGGAGCACCCAGAACACGAGGCAUCAUCUGGAGGUUCUAUGCCUGGCAGAA